This 982-nucleotide ribosomal RNA is filed under the name human gut metagenome. RNAcentral describes it as "bacterial LSU rRNA". It matches the Rfam family "Bacterial large subunit ribosomal RNA", at positions 1949 to 2925 of the family's 2925-position model. The record is from RNAcentral.
UCCUAAGGUAGCGAAAUUCCUUGUCGGGUAAGUUCCGACCUGCACGAAUGGCGUAAUGAUGGCCAGGCUGUCUCCACCCGAGACUCAGUGAAAUUGAACUCGCUGUGAAGAUGCAGUGUACCCGCGGCAAGACGGAAAGACCCCGUGAACCUUUACUAUAGCUUGACACUGAACAUUGAGCCUUGAUGUGUAGGAUAGGUGGGAGGCUUUGAAGCGUGGACGCCAGUCUGCGUGGAGCCAACCUUGAAAUACCACCCUUUAAUGUUUGAUGUUCUAACCUGGCGCCGUGAUCCGGCGUGGGGACAGUGUCUGGUGGGUAGUUUGACUGGGGCGGUCUCCUCCUAAAGAGUAACGGAGGAGCACGAAGGUUGGCUAAUCCUGGUCGGACAUCAGGAGGUUAGUGCAAUGGCAUAAGCCAGCUUGACUGCGAGCGUGACGGCGCGAGCAGGUGCGAAAGCAGGUCAUAGUGAUCCGGUGGUUCUGAAUGGAAGGGCCAUCGCUCAACGGAUAAAAGGUACUCCGGGGAUAACAGGCUGAUACCGCCCAAGAGUUCAUAUCGACGGCGGUGUUUGGCACCUCGAUGUCGGCUCAUCACAUCCUGGGGCUGAAGUAGGUCCCAAGGGUAUGGCUGUUCGCCAUUUAAAGUGGUACGCGAGCUGGGUUUAGAACGUCGUGAGACAGUUCGGUCCCUAUCUGCCGUGGGCGCUGGAGAAUUGAGGGGGGCUGCUCCUAGUACGAGAGGACCGGAGUGGACGCAUCACUGGUGUUCGGGUUGUCAUGCCAAUGGCAUUGCCCGGUAGCUACAUGCGGAAGAGAUAAGUGCUGAAAGCAUCUAAGCACGAAACUUGCCCCGAGAUGAGUUCUCCCUGAGACUUAGAGUCUCCUGAAGGAACGUUGAAGACGACGACGUUGAUAGGCCGGGUGUGUAAGCGCAGCGAUGCGUUGAGCUAACCGGUACUAAUGAACCGUGAGGCUUAACCUU